AGAGUUUGAUCCUGGCUCAGAAUGAACGCUGGCGGCGUGUUUAAGACAUGCAAGUCGCACGGAGGAAUGUGAGUAGCAAUACAAGCAUUCUUCAGUGGCGCACGGGUGCGUAACACGUGAGUUACAUGCCCUGCAGAGGGGGAUAGCCCAGGGAAACUUGGAUUAAUACCCCAUGGUCUCGCAAGAGUAAAGGUGGCGUAAGCUGCCGCUGCAGGAUUGGCUCGCGGCCUAUCAGCUAGUUGGUGAGGUAACGGCUCACCAAGGCUACGACGGGUACCUGGUCUGAGAGGACGAUCAGGCACACUGGAACUGAGACACGGUCCAGACACCUACGGGUGGCAGCAGUCGAGAAUCAUUCACAAUGGGGGCAACCCUGAUGGUGCAACGCCGCGUGGAGGAUGAAGGUCUUCGGAUUGUAAACUCCUGUCAUCUAGGAGCAAGGCAUGGUGGUGAAUAGCCGACAUGAUUGAUAGUACUAGAAGAGGAAGGGACGGCUAACUUCGUGCCAGCAGCCGCGGUAAUACGAAGGUCCCGAGCGUUAUUCGGAAUCACUGGGCGUAAAGGGAGCGUAGGCGGCGUGGAAAGUCAGAUGUGAAAUCCCGGGGCUCAACCCCGGAACUGCAUCCGAUACUACCAUGCUAGAGUAUUGGAGGGGUAACUGGAAUUCUCGGUGUAGCAGUGAAAUGCGUGGAUAUCGAGAGGAACACCUGUGGCGAAAGCGAGUUACUGGACAAUUACUGACGCUGAGGCUCGAAGGCUAGGGGAGCAAAAGGGAUUAGAUACCCCUGUAGUCCUAGCAG
Molecule: ribosomal RNA, 800 nt
Filed under: uncultured bacterium
Lineage: Bacteria
Description: bacterial SSU rRNA
Rfam family: Bacterial small subunit ribosomal RNA
Source: RNAcentral